RNAcentral lists this ribosomal RNA (497 nucleotides) under uncultured bacterium. RNAcentral's name for it is "partial 16S ribosomal RNA". It matches the Rfam family "Bacterial small subunit ribosomal RNA", at positions 28 to 507 of the family's 1533-position model. The record is from RNAcentral.
GAUGAACGCUGGCGGCGUGCCUAAUACAUGCCAGUCGAGCGAACGGACGAGAAGCUUGCUUCUCUGAUGUUAGCGGCGGACGGGUGAGUAACACGUGGAUAACCUACCUAUAAGACUGGGAUAACUUCGGGAAACCGUAGCUAAUACCGGAUAAUAUUUUGAACCGCAUGGUUCAAAAGUGAAAGACGGUCUUGCUGUCACUUAUAGAUGGAUCCGCGCUGCAUUAGCUAGUUGGUAGGGUAACGGCUUACCAAGGCAACGAUGCAUAGCCGACCUGAGAGGGUGAUCGGCCACACUGGAACUGAGACACGGUCCAGACUCCUACGGGAGGCAGCAGUAGGGAAUCUUCCGCAAUGGGCGAAAGCCUGACGGGGCAACGCCGCGUGAGUGAUGAAGGUCUUCGGAUCGUAAAACUCUGUUAUUAGGGAAGAACAUAUGUGUAAGUAACUGUGCACAUCUUGACGGUACCUAAUCAGAAAGCCACGGCUAACUACGUG